UACGGGGGGGGCAAGCGUUGUUCGGAAUUACUGGGCGUAAAGGGCUCGUAGGCGGCCCACUAAGUCCGACGUGAAAUCCCCAGGCUUAACUUGGGAACUGCGUCGGAUACUGGUGGGCUUGAAUCCGGGAGAGGGAUGCGGAAUUCCAGGUGUAGCGGUGAAAUGCGUAGAUAUCUGGAGGAACACCGGUGGCGAAGGCGGCAUCCUGGACCGAUACUGACGCUGAGGAGCGAAAGCCAGGGGAGCAAACGGG
RNAcentral lists this ribosomal RNA (253 nucleotides) under uncultured bacterium. Its description in RNAcentral is "partial 16S ribosomal RNA". It matches the Rfam family "Bacterial small subunit ribosomal RNA", at positions 524 to 776 of the family's 1533-position model. The record is from RNAcentral.